Molecule: ribosomal RNA, 287 nt
Filed under: Acinetobacter baumannii OIFC143
Lineage: Bacteria; Pseudomonadati; Pseudomonadota; Gammaproteobacteria; Moraxellales; Moraxellaceae
Description: partial 16S ribosomal RNA
Rfam family: Bacterial small subunit ribosomal RNA
Source: RNAcentral
UCGAGCGGGGGAAGGUAGCUUGCUACCGGACCUAGCGGCGGACGGGUGAGUAAUGCUUAGGAAUCUGCCUAUUAGUGGGGGACAACAUCUCGAAAGGGAUGCUAAUACCGCAUACGUCCUACGGGAGAAAGCAGGGGAUCUUCGGACCUUGCGCUAAUAGAUGAGCCUAAGUCGGAUUAGCUAGUUGGUGGGGUAAAGGCCUACCAAGGCGACGAUCUGUAGCGGGUCUGAGAGGAUGAUCCGCCACACUGGGACUGAGACACGGCCCAGACUCCUACGGGAGGCAG